This is a long non-coding RNA of Betta splendens (Siamese fighting fish), 2451 nucleotides long. RefSeq lists it as uncharacterized. The transcript is spliced from 3 exons. NCBI's taxonomy places the organism in Eukaryota, Metazoa, Chordata, Actinopteri, Anabantiformes, Osphronemidae. The record is from RefSeq and is a predicted model, not a curated record.
CUGUGCAUGUGGGUCCGACAUCUCAGAAAUCAGCCACGUGACAGUAUGAUCUGAACAGACUUGGACCCAGCCAGCUCCCAGGUUUUGUUUCAACCUAGUUUUGUUUGUUCGGGGAAAAGAGUUUUUGCGGCUCCAUGGAUUUUGCCUGUGGCGACUUACCCAGACAUCUCCGCCUCUGCUUCUCGGCACUGACAAAGGAUUGGGAAGCAGCCAACCCGGACGCACAGCGGAGCCCGGAGAGGUUGCAAUCGCUUUCCUGGAGGAAGAGGAUUGCUGGUUAGAUUACCCCGGAAUGUGGACCCUCUUCGACCAGCUGUGCUUGAGAUGAGAGGAAUUGGAGUGCGUUCUUCACGCCGUGUCCGCCUACACAGCGGUCCCGCGUUCAGUGCCAGCUCCCGUCUCUUCACUGAUGUUCCACCGAUCGCCAGCUCCUGCUGCGCUCCCCGCUCAAAGUGUGCCUGGGAGGCUCUGUGUGGGCGGCUUGGGUUGAAACACCUGCCCUCCUGGAACUGAAGGUGUGUUGGCUCCCUGGCUGCUAGGAUUUCCUCUGCUUGCUGGAUGGGCGUAGUGGCCGAGCUCCUCACAUCACCCUGGCUUUCACAAGUGGCAUUGUUCAUGCACCAACGUCUGCCUCACCCUUUGGGUGAACAAUGUUAAGCUACAGCUUUACUAACCCUGUAGUGGGACACUCAACACCUGAGCUGAUAAACAGGCUUUCCAAACCCAACUUUAAGUAUUAUUGAUACUUAUCACUACCAAUAUCCAUAAUGUGUGAAUAUGGAGAUGGUGUUGUAUGUCAUGACUAUUAUUAAGUAGUAUGGGAUAUGUAUAACAAUGCAUAUGUGUAUGUAUAUGAUAUGUAUAUGUUUGUAUAAGUAUGUGCACAUACCUUAACACUAUUAUUAGUUUUAGUAUCAAUCUCCAAUGUAAACCACAGUACAACAGUUGUUUAGUUAUGAAUGUCUUAGCCUAAGGUACAUCCCUGCUUAAUUAUUUUGCACCGAUUGUUUACUUAACAUAUUUGCUUGGUUUCAGCAGCUGGUUGCACCGCCCCCCUCCCGCACACACCCCAAAGCAGAAACUUGUCCAUCACAAACCUGUCCAUCACAAUAUGGCAUUCAGCGUAAUAUAUGCUGCUUGUUAAACUGCUGGACAGAAAAAAAGUCAGUCUUUGGUUUCUAUUUUUUCUCAUGGUCCUGCUCAUAUUUCUGCUCCUGCUUCGCCUCUUUCCCCUGCUAGAGCUUCAGCCCCGGCCUUUUAGCAAUCUCUAGGCCGCGCUCUGGCUCCAUCUACUGGAGAGUGGUCUCAAUUGGACUCUGCAAUAAUCCCUCUGUGCAGUGAAAGGGUUUCCAUGAAGUUCGUUCCCCCCUGUGUCCUGACUCCACCACCGACCUCCCGACUGGCUCUCAAUGAGGGAUGCCAGAUCUGAGAGGAACUGAAAGGCCUGUACAGCCCGUGGUGCUCAGAUGAGCACGUCUACUCCCGUCCCUGGCGGUCCAAGGGAAGCCACACCGAUUCCAGUUUUUGGUGGUCGGGAGGUGACUGUACCAUUCGUGGUUUCUGUGUCCUUUGCUUCACUGUAUGCAGGUGGACGGCGGGCCGGCACUGACCAAGUUUACCUCAGCUACUGGCGGUCCGGCACCAACCAUGUCUGCCAGUGGUGCUCACAAGAGCACGUCUACUCCCGUCCCUUUUGGUCCAAGGGAAGCCACACCGAUUCCAGUCUCUGGUGGUCGGAAGGUGACUGUACCAUUCGUGGUUUCUGUGUCCUCUGCUUCACUGUAUGCAGGUGGACGGCGGGCCGGCACUGACCAAGAUUGCCUCAGCUACUGGCGGUCCGGAACUGACCAUGUCUGCCUCAGUUCCUGGGGGUCCGGCACCGACCACGUCCAUUCCGCCCGCAUGUCUGGCUCCUCAAGUUCUGUCAUCUCGUUGGCCUGGCAUGGUCCUACGCUCGUCUCGUCUGCCUGACUGGUGGCCUCGCCCUCGGUGCCUCACGCCACAAUAGUGGCGCUGCCUCCUUCGUCACCGGCCACCUCGACUCUCCUGCCCGGCUCCCCGUCUAGAGGACACUUUUUACUACACUACACUACACUAUUUAAACUGCUAUAAAUCAGAAACUAUAAAAGAUAUUUAAAAGAUUUCUGGAAGAUUAAUAGUUGAAGAUUAUUUUGUAGUUCAAAUGGUGUCUGUAGCUUAAAGUAUGCGAAAGUAGUUAAAUCUGAAAGUAGACAAAGCUGAAGCAAAUUUCAAAAGUUGUUUCCAUUCAUUUCAAUGGGGAAAAAAAGUUGAAAAAAGCUUAAUAACUUGAAAAAUAUAAAAUCUAUGAAUAAGAAAAGUAAUAGCACACUUCUUAAAAAGCUGAACAUUUUGAUAGUGGAAUCGUUUCUGUAGCUGAAAGUAUGCGGGACUAGUUAGAUGAGAAAAACGUGCGGAAGAAAAAUAAUUAGA